Molecule: long non-coding RNA, 790 nt
Filed under: Monodelphis domestica (gray short-tailed opossum)
Lineage: Eukaryota; Metazoa; Chordata; Mammalia; Didelphimorphia; Didelphidae
Description: lncRNA (ENSMODG00000047368.1)
Source: RNAcentral
GGUAAUUGAUUUAAACAGAGAGAAGCUGUAGUUUUGGCGGGGUAUCUGUAAGGAUAGCUCAUUCUACUAUAGUCACAGAAUUGACUUUUUUGGAAGAUGGCUAGAUUCUUGGAUGGAUUGAGUAUUUAUUAAGCACUGACCAGGUGCCAGGUCUGGGGAUAAAUGCUGGGGAUCCCAAAACCUUUCAGUUUACUGAUGGAUAAGGAGUCUUUCCCCUGGAAAUAAUUCAUCACCAAUUUUCCAAGUGCAAUUCAGACUUGUUUGAGCAAAUAAGAGUGGUCAGCACCAUGGCCAGAGAAGGAUAGAGGAAAAGUGAAAAGCAUGGAGUACAUACAGUCUGCCCAGAAUCUUGAUUCCAUCCAAGCUUUCAACUGAAUGCCCGUCGUAAUGGCAUGGCUCCAGAUCCCAGGACAAACUAAGUAGGCCCAAAACAAAGUAUUCAUGAGCAUCCAAUGAAUUAGUCACUUUGCUUCUCAAAAGCUCUAGCAGCUUGGUCAGCUUUCUCCCCUGAGAGCAAUGGAUGUAGAUUCCCUUCCCAACAACUCUCUGAGUCACCGUGGCUGGAUCCAUCCUCUGACUGCUACUCUCAGAGCCUUCAUUCAAGGAGUGAAUUGUUGAUAACAAUUUGAAGAGUUAAAUCUAGUGGAUAGAGGAAAGGUUAUCUCAAGAAAUCAAGGAGGCAAAAAAGAAGUACUUCUAUCAUCUUUGUAUAGUUUUUGCAUUAUACUUUGGUAGUCACCAGAUAGAUACAGACUUAUAAAAGACUAAAUAAAAGAGUGAACACGUUGCA